CGGCGGACGGGUGAGUAAUGCCUAGGAAUCUGCCUGGUAGUGGGGGACAACGUUUCGAAAGGAACGCUAAUACCGCAUACGUCCUACGGGAGAAAGCAGGGGACCUUCGGGCCUUGCGCUAUCAGAUGAGCCUAGGUCGGAUUAGCUAGUUGGUGAGGUAAUGGCUCACCAAGGCGACGAUCCGUAACUUGUCUGAGAGGAUGAUCAGUCACACUGGAACUGAGACACGGUCCAGACUCCUACGGGAGGCAGCAGAC
Molecule: ribosomal RNA, 257 nt
Filed under: uncultured Pseudomonas sp.
Lineage: Bacteria; Pseudomonadati; Pseudomonadota; Gammaproteobacteria; Pseudomonadales; Pseudomonadaceae
Description: partial 16S ribosomal RNA
Rfam family: Bacterial small subunit ribosomal RNA
Source: RNAcentral